Long non-coding RNA from Python bivittatus (Burmese python), 1484 nucleotides. RefSeq lists it as uncharacterized. The record is from RefSeq and is a predicted model, not a curated record. NCBI's taxonomy places the organism in Eukaryota, Metazoa, Chordata, Lepidosauria, Squamata, Pythonidae.
AUAAAAAAAAAUCUAAAAAAAGAGAUACAACUCAGAGUUCUAACAGAAUUGAGAAAAAAAUAGAUAUAUCAAAUAGUAAAAGGACACAAAUCUGCCAAUAAAUCACGGUGAUCUCUUUGCUUAGCAUAUGCCUUGUGUGAAACUUACAUUUGUUUCUAAUUUGUCAAACCACAAUUAAACAAGAAAUCCAAGUAAUGAAGAAAAACCUAAUAGAGAGUAAUUCUUAAAUGAAAGGUAGCAAAGAAUAGUUUACAAUUAAGUAGCUUUGGAAUUCACAGGACAUUACAUCAAAGAGUUCAUUAUCACGCAGCAACUGGCCCACUGCAAUGUUCUUCAAAUUGUUUCUAAAAAAGAAUGCUGUUCUUCAUCUAUGUUUUGAAUCUGUUAGUGCCCUUUGCCCUUUUGCCAUAGUUACCUUUAGAAUGGAAAUGAAACACCUGGGAUUGCAAAAACCCUGUCCGAGAAAUUCUGCCAAAAAUUGUUCUCUCGAGGCAAGUGUUCAAAAUAACUUUAAAAACAAUUUGCCUGGUACAAAUCAAAUUAGAAAAAUUACACAGCAUUAACAUUAAUAGACCAAUAUCUGUUAUGGUCCAUUAAUGGACCAAAUAUUUUGAGAUAUGUAUUAUGAAAAAAGACAACCUACUGCAAUAACAUGUAUUUGUUAUCUGUUCUUCUUAUUCUUAUCCCGAAUCAAUCCACUGCAAGAUGAAGGCCUUUUCAGUGAAGCUUAUGGACCACAAUCUACCAGGCUGGCCCAGUGCAGACUUUGAUGAGAAGAGAGAUCCCGGACUGAUGCCAUGCCAUUUCUUUCUUUUUCCCAUGUUGUUCAGAUCCACACAGACUCUUUUGCUUGCACCUUUUGCCUCCAUGAUCGUCUUGCCAUAAAAAGUUGGAAUUUCUGAUGACAUUCAUCUAUCCCAUUCUACAGAAAUAUUCUGGCAGAGAGUAUGAUGCUUAUUUGUCAUUGCUUCUGUCUGACCAGGACUCUGAUGUAUCUUCCGAGGUUGCUAAAUUCUGUGCCUCUAUAUAUUCUAUUCCUCCAAUUUACAACUAGUGAUUAGUGCUGAUCUUGGUGAUUGCCACUAUUAUUUGUACUAUUUGUUUUAUUUGCAGUGUUUUCUUUAUAACAGUCCUGUAUUUUACAUUUACUUUUUAUUCAUAUGUAUAGAUUUAGGUAUAUGUGUUUCUCUAUAUACACAUUUGGUCUAUAUUGCAUUUUCUGGCUCAAAAACUGUAAUAAAGGAUUGAGUAAUCCUCACAAAACAUAGGUAAAAUAGAUAAUGAGAGAAAGACUGAAUAAUUACAACUGGAAAAACAAUUCCUAUCCUUUUUGUGAUUGAAAAUAUUUGGAUUUAUACAAUCAUUAAAUCAUUCUGUUGGAUCCUUUUUUUAGUAGUAUUUUAAAGCAUAUAUCUAGUCUGCUUAAAUCCAACUGAACAAAGCAAUUACUUCCUAAGAAAAUUAAGACUAUAUAUUCUUGAAUC